UGAACGCUGGCGGCAGGCCUAACACAUGCAAGUCGCACGGUAACAGGAAGAAGCUUGCUUCUUUGCUGACGAGUGGCGGACGGGUGAGUAAUGUCUGGGAAACUGCCUGAUGGAGGGGGAUAACUACUGGAAACGGUAGCUAAUACCGCAUAACGUCGCAAGACCAAAGAGGGGGACCUUCGGGCCUCUUGCCAUCGGAUGUGCCCAGAUGGGAUUAGCUUGUUGGUGGGGUAACGGCUCACCAAGGCGACGAUCCCUAGCUGGUCUGAGAGGAUGACCAGCCACACUGGAACUGAGACACGGUCCAGACUCCUACGGGAGGCAGCAGUGGGGAAUAUUGCACAAUGGGCGCAAGCCUGAUGCAGCCAUGCCGCGUGUAUGAAGAAGGCCUUCGGGUUGUAAAGUACUUUCAGCGGGGAGGAAGGGAGUAAAGUUAAUACCUUUGCUCAUUGACGUUACCCGCAGAAGAAGCACCGGCUAACUCCGUG
Molecule: ribosomal RNA, 488 nt
Filed under: uncultured bacterium
Lineage: Bacteria
Description: partial 16S ribosomal RNA
Rfam family: Bacterial small subunit ribosomal RNA
Source: RNAcentral